UUGAGCGAUUUACUUCGGUAAAGAGCGGCGGACGGGUGAGUAACGCGUGGGUAACCUACCCUGUACACACGGAUAACAUACCGAAAGGUAUGCUAAUACGGGAUAACAUAUUUGGGAGGCAUCUCUUGAAUAUCAAAGGUGAGCCAGUACAGGAUGGACCCGCGUCUGAUUAGCUAGUUGGUAAGGUAACGGCUUACCAAGGCGACGAUCAGUAGCCGACCUGAGAGGGUGAUCGGCCACAU
This 242-nucleotide ribosomal RNA is filed under the name Clostridioides difficile. RNAcentral describes it as "partial 16S ribosomal RNA". It matches the Rfam family "Bacterial small subunit ribosomal RNA", at positions 62 to 313 of the family's 1533-position model. RNAcentral also lists the same sequence under 1 other name. Lineage: Bacteria; Bacillati; Bacillota; Clostridia; Peptostreptococcales; Peptostreptococcaceae. The record is from RNAcentral.